Molecule: ribosomal RNA, 464 nt
Filed under: Vreelandella stevensii
Lineage: Bacteria; Pseudomonadati; Pseudomonadota; Gammaproteobacteria; Oceanospirillales; Halomonadaceae
Description: partial 16S ribosomal RNA
Rfam family: Bacterial small subunit ribosomal RNA
Source: RNAcentral
CCUACGGGAGGCAGCAGUGGGGAAUAUUGGACAAUGGGCGAAAGCCUGAUCCAGCCAUGCCGCGUGUGUGAAGAAGGCCUUCGGGUUGUAAAGCACUUUCAGCGGGGAAGAAAGCCUUGGGGCUAAUACCCUCGAGGAAGGACAUCACCCACAGAAGAAGCACCGGCUAACUCCGUGCCAGCAGCCGCGGUAAUACGGAGGGUGCGAGCGUUAAUCGGAAUUACUGGGCGUAAAGCGCGCGUAGGCGGUCUGAUAAGCCGGUUGUGAAAGCCCCGGGCUCAACCUGGGAACGGCAUCCGGAACUGUCAGGCUAGAGUGCAGGAGAGGAAGGUAGAAUUCCCGGUGUAGCGGUGAAAUGCGUAGAGAUCGGGAGGAAUACCAGUGGCGAAGGCGGCCUUCUGGACUGACACUGACGCUGAGGUGCGAAAGCGUGGGUAGCAAACAGGAUUAGAUACCCCGGAGUC